ACAGAAGGUGUGGGUGGACAAAGCAAAGCAGAGCCCUGACCUCACACCAGCUGGCCGAGCUGUCUUGGCUUGCAUUUGCUGUUCCAGCAUUUGUGGAGUUUGAAAUCUGCAUGCUUGGAGUGCGGAGAGCUGGAUCUUGCACCACAGUCUCCCUGUGGGCUCUUGAAUGAGAAAACCAGGGGAAGCAGAGGUAAGAACCUGUUCAAGAAGGCACAUCUCAGAUGUGGAAGAACCAUGAUUCAACUCGAGUCUGUCUGCUUCCCAAGACUAUGGUAUUUAAACAGCUUAUAAUGAAAAUUCCUUCUAUAGCUCCCCAUAAAAGGGCACACAGUUCUUUCUUAACGUAUUAUUUCAGGCAUUCAUUCACCAUUCAUGUAUUUGUGAAGAUGUUCUCUCUAAAUAAACUAUUGGGACCUUA
RNAcentral lists this long non-coding RNA (418 nucleotides) under Pan troglodytes (chimpanzee). RNAcentral describes it as "lincRNA". The record is from RNAcentral. Lineage: Eukaryota; Metazoa; Chordata; Mammalia; Primates; Hominidae.